ACUACAGGCGACUCAUCAAAGAAAUGCAUACGGUUGCAAUCAAUCAAUGAAAUAUUUGCUACGUAAGCUUCUAACUUCUCCAUAACGUCCGGCCGUUCUGUCUCUCGAGGAAUUUGACUUAUUAUCUUGUAAGAGUAACCAAGAUCUUUAUUCAAAAUUCUACUAAUGGAUGACCUGCUAGAUAUUCAGCGUAUGCAAUAACGUCAUCUGUACGCGUGGUUCGAACAUCAAGUUCGCCCUGGCGAGGUGCAAUAGAACCAGUGUCUACCCAUAGAUCUAUUAUAUUUGAUAUAGUCUUAUACGGUAGAUUUAGUUGUUUCAAAACGUUUGUCAAACGCUGGUUAUUUAACCACCUUUCAAGUAUUUCAUUUCUUACUCCUAUUGGUAAA
Xenia sp. Carnegie-2017 is the source of this 389-nucleotide long non-coding RNA. RefSeq lists it as uncharacterized. Lineage: Eukaryota; Metazoa; Cnidaria; Anthozoa; Malacalcyonacea; Xeniidae. The record is from RefSeq and is a predicted model, not a curated record. The transcript is spliced from 2 exons.